UUAAGGCAAUAAUGAAAGGAAAUUGAGAUUCACUCUGCAGAAUGUCUGCCUGUGCUAGCAUUGCAAAUAUUCACAAGCAGAGUUGGGGGUGUUUUCAAAUGGUUGCAAAUCCUCAGCCCAUGUGAUAAAAGAUGCUGACAUUAAUAUUCUGGUGUGCAAGCUAAUUCCUUCAGCCAGCUGUGAGGCUGAGGCUCUGCGGACCGAGAAAAGCGAUUCCCACAUUCAAGCUGCUGUAUCGGACUUACUGAGCUCUUCACUCUUUGAGAUCACUGUGAUUUACUAGAUACUGCCAAGAAAAUAUUCUAAUGUGUCAUAUUUACUCAUGUUCAUAAAUCUAUGUGCAUGCUACCUUCAACAAAGAUAUUUCUUACAUUAUGCAUUACACACAUAAACGUACGUCUUCGUCGAGGAACAAUAAACGAUGAAUGUUUCUCUAAUAGCCAUAGAUGAAGCGGGAUAAAGGAAAAAGUGGCAAAAUCAAAAAGGAUGCUAGUGUCUAUGGAAAUAAGGACAAGGUACAAAGAGUUCUUUUAGGUCAAGGUACAAUGAAUUACCAUAAUCAAGGCCAAAUUAUUCCAUUAGCAGAAAAUGGGUUUGAUUCUACUCCUGCCCUAACCCCAGGAAGGUCAAGGAGAGCACAGCCUCACAGAGCAGCACAGCGGGCUAAGGCUGCACCGACAACAGGAACUUUACAGUAGGGCCAAGAAUGAGCAAUCACAUGUAAAGAAUGGCAAAGGAAAAGAAAAGGCGAGCAGGUGAGAUGUGAUUUCUUAUACCCUUGGCCAAACAGAAAGACCAACUACUUGCCUAAGUCAUCAGUGAAAAGGACCAGAAAAAACACUAACGGUCAACAAAAGAGGAAAUAAAUGGAUGAAUGGUAGAAAAGAGUACUGAUACUCUCUUCUGGAUGUCAUCUGGAGAAAAAUGCUAAAUACCUCAUGCCCACUGGAAUUCCAUAUCAGUGGCAACUGCAAAGGAAGUGUGGAAUCACAGAUCAACACAACCAUGGAAAAGAGAAGAGUAGAGGGUAGUGAUAAAGUCCACACUCAGGAACUUGAGAUCUUCUACUAGACAUCAAGGUCAAUAUUAAUCAUUGGAAUGGAACUAAAUGCAUAAAAAUCAGGAACAGUUUAACUGCAUACCCUGAACAUAGCAGGUGUUCCUGAUUGGUGGAGAGUCAUCCAUGAAGUGAUCCAGUGAUCCAGGCUUUUUGCAUCUGGGACAUCACCUUCCUCUAGACUUCAACUCUUCUGCAUCCAGAAAGCAGAUGGGGAAAGAGGGAGUGAAAUAAGCAUUCAUGCAUUUAAGCUCCUUGGCUCAGAAAUGAUAUUUAUAACUUCCGCUCUUGUUCUAUGGCUAGAACAAGUGACAUGAACCGCAGCUGGACAAGAGAGGAUGGUGCCAAGAAAUAAUCCCCUCCUGGGCAGAUGUUUUUCAGUGCAACUCUAUUCUAUGGAAGAAGAAGACAAUGCUAUAAGCCAGUAAGGAGACUCUCCAGGACUCAAAACAGAUAGAUGACUUUAAGUCCAGUGUUCUUGCUACCACAACAUACCACCUAGGCAUCCAGAGUUGGCUCAGCUUGCUUCAAAACACUUGAACUAGCGCCUGACCUAACACUGUAGGUAGUAUGGGACAGAGGAUUGUCACCAAUGGGAAGACUACUUGAACAGACCGAUGAGGAGAACCAGGCUUAAGCCAGGCUGUGCCAUAUCUGACUGAAUAAAUCAUGAAUUCUC
This is a non-coding RNA of Callorhinus ursinus (northern fur seal), 1736 nucleotides long. NCBI's taxonomy places the organism in Eukaryota, Metazoa, Chordata, Mammalia, Carnivora, Otariidae. The record is from RefSeq and is a predicted model, not a curated record.